AGUGGGCACCAAGUUGCGCAGCAAAAAAUGCAGCAAAAAUUGCAGCCACAUUUGCAAUCACAUUUGCAGUCA
Molecule: non-coding RNA, 72 nt
Organism: Plasmodium vivax (malaria parasite P. vivax)
Lineage: Eukaryota; Apicomplexa; Aconoidasida; Haemosporida; Plasmodiidae
Source: the annotation of a RefSeq genome assembly